RNAcentral lists this non-coding RNA (24 nucleotides) under Rattus norvegicus (Norway rat). Lineage: Eukaryota; Metazoa; Chordata; Mammalia; Rodentia; Muridae. The record is from RNAcentral.
AGCAAGGUGGUCGGACAAGUUGUC